This 253-nucleotide ribosomal RNA is filed under the name uncultured bacterium. Its description in RNAcentral is "partial 16S ribosomal RNA". It matches the Rfam family "Bacterial small subunit ribosomal RNA", at positions 524 to 776 of the family's 1533-position model. The record is from RNAcentral.
UACGUAGGGCGCAAGCGUUGUCCGGAAUUAUUGGGCGUAAAGAGCUCGUAGGCGGUCUGUCGCGUCGAAUGUGAAAACCCGGGGCUCAACCCCGGGCCUGCAUUCGAUACGGGCAGACUAGAGUUCGGUAGGGGAGUCUGGAAUUCCUGGUGUAGCGGUGAAAUGCGCAGAUAUCAGGAGGAACACCGGUGGCGAAGGCGGGACUCUGGGCCGAUACUGACGCUGAGGAGCGAAAGCGUGGGGAGCGAACAGG